UUUCACGUGGCUCCAAUACUGGCCUGGCACAUGGAGAAGCAUUUUAAAGAUAUGACAGCACAAACAGUAAAGGCAAAGAACAAAACCAAGAGUCUGCUAGUGAUCGAUCCCAGAAGAAAAGAGAAGGUAAAGUGGUCUUUACUGGAGGAGGCAAUAAAAGCACUGAAGGAUCCCCUUCUUAUAUCCACCCUCUUUGACAAGCUGCUGAGAAGAUCAGACCAGGACCAGGAAUACAUACAGCUACAGCCCGACUGUCUCCUCACCACAGCCCUGCUCAAACUGUAUGUCACACACUUCAUGCACAAAGUGCAAACAGAUGAACUCUUCCCAUCAGGCGUGACAACAGGAAUUCUCAUCUAUGGUGAAACUGUCAUGAUGAGCCUUUCAUUCAAAGCCAAAGAAAAACUGGAGAUAAGGAAGUCUUUGCUGGAGGAGACAAGAAGGGCAAGACAAGAUCUCAUUUCUGCCAUCUUUGACCAGCUGCCGAGAAGAUCAAUGCAGGAUGAGGAUGAGCAUGAGGAAGAGGAAGAGGAUGAGGAUGAGGACCAGGACCAAUUAUACAAACAGCUGCGCUGUGACCAUCCACGCACCCCAGGCCUGCUCACUCUGUGCGUUGCACACUUGAUGAGCAAAGCGCAAACACAUGAUAAAUUCUUCCCAACAAGCCUGAAAGUCAAAAAUCUCACCGACAGUGAAACUGUAAUGAUCAGCAUUUCAUUCGAAUAAAUAGAAUAUUGCAGCUGACAAAUGUUUUCCCAGAAUGUCCAGACAGUAGUAAAACAGCAAAAAGGACUGCAUACAGUAUAUGACAAAGUUGGGGUUAAAAUGUUUGACAAUAAUUCUGGCGCAAGCUCAGUCCUUUCCUUUUGGGAAGAGCCAUGGCAGUUGUGGGUUUGGGUUACUUUUUAGUAUAGUAGGAAACUGAGAAAUGUGCGAUUGUAAUUUUUACAUUGUUCAGUCAAUAUAAAUGCUAUUGUACAUUAUGCCUUAUUGGGGAUUUUGAAAUAUGAAAAGUAAAAGAUAAUUGAUUAAUUGAUGUGUUGGUUUGGCUGGAGGAAGGAGCUACCUGGAUGUAGUAGCUCUGAUCCCUGGUCCAAGUUAGUCUGUGGUGGGAUCUCAGUGGAAAAGGUCAUAGGUUAUACAACAACUGAAUUGUAAGUUAUCAAGAAUUUAAGUGUUCUUGAAAGUAUUUGCAACCUGAAAUCUUUCGUUGUUUAUUAUUAUUUUUGUUAGUUCGUGUAUGUCUGUAUGUUUCCGUGAUAAAACGACAUAUCUCUGCACUGCCCACUGUAAAUAAAUUCCAACACUGUUUUUUUUGGGGGAAAGCAUCGACUUUUUAAAAUCAACUUCCUGUGCCUCUUAGUCGGCAACGUUUACCCUCGCUCGGGUAAACAGGGUUAAACUAUAUAUGUGUUAGCGUGUAUUUUUACUAACAUAACUAAUCAAUAUUAUCCAUAGUUCACAGUUACUGAAUAAUAACAUUGUAGUUUAGAUGGGAGGGGGCCUGAAAUGGAGAGGGAGUUUGGCCCAAGCUUACUCUCUAAAACAAUGUCUAACUUUAUUGACUUUAUAUGGGUGUCCAGUAAAAUGUAAUAAGUGGUGAUUUGCUAAUACUGUAACUAUAUACAAUAAUUAAAGAUGAGGCCGGUCAAGCCAUCUUAAAUGAGUGAGACCUGACAUGUUAACCUUUUAUUGAUUGUAAUGCCUAUAUUCAUUAUAUUCAUAUGUGUUUAAAGGGGGGAUGUUAGAGUUAACAUGUUACAUUUUACAUAUGUGUGUAUUUUUCUUAACAUAAUUAAUUUAUAUUAAUCAAUAUUAUCCAUUGUUCUUAAUUACUAAUAUUGUAGUUCAGAUGGGAGGGGAAGCAGUAAAUCUGACCAUGUUGACCUUAUUUGGGAGACCAGCAAACAUGAUAAAUGAUGAUUGGCUGAGCUGAAGGCAAACACCGAAUGGUGUGAUAUGACUACAUGUGAUAUGUUAUAAAUGCCCAGAGGAACUGCCCCUCUGUGGAAAUUGCACAUGCAUCUUUGUUGUGUGAACUGAUUCCCCUUCUGCCAAAUAAAGAAUACUGAUAAUUUACA
Molecule: long non-coding RNA, 2081 nt
Organism: Anguilla rostrata (American eel)
Lineage: Eukaryota; Metazoa; Chordata; Actinopteri; Anguilliformes; Anguillidae
Exons: 2
Source: RefSeq, a predicted model, not a curated record